RNAcentral lists this ribosomal RNA (471 nucleotides) under Troglocaris anophthalmus. Its description in RNAcentral is "partial 16S ribosomal RNA". It matches the Rfam family "Bacterial large subunit ribosomal RNA", at positions 1852 to 2582 of the family's 2925-position model. Lineage: Eukaryota; Metazoa; Arthropoda; Malacostraca; Decapoda; Atyidae. The record is from RNAcentral.
GUCUGGCCUGCCCACUGAUAUUUUAAAGGGCCGCGGUACUAAACCGUGCUAAGGUAGCAUAAUCAAUAGUCUUUUAAUUGGGGUCUAGAAUGAAAGGUCGGACGAAAGAUUAUCUGUCUUAUAUAAAUAAAGAAUUUUACCUUUAAGUGAAAAGGCUUAAAUAAAAUAAUGGGACGAUAAGACCCUGUGAAGUUUGAAUAAAUAUAAAAUAAAAAUUUAAUUAUAGUUAUUAUUAUUUAUUUUAUAUUACGUUUAGCUGGGGCGGCUAGAAUAUAAAUGUUUAACUGUUUAUAAAAAGAAGAAUAAAAUUAAUUAGUUAAUUUUAUCCUUUAAUAAGGAAAAAAAAUUAAAACUACUCCAGGGAUAACAGCGUAAUUUUUCUUGAGAGUUCUUAUCGACAGAAAUAGUUGCGACCUCGAUGUUGAAUUAAAAUUUCAUUAAGGCGGAGAAGCUUUAGUUGUAGGUCUGUUC